AACGGGUGGUAAUGCCGGAUGCUCCAGUUGGAUGCAUGUCCUUCUGGGAAAGAUUCAUCGGUAUGGGAUGGGGUCGCGUCCUAUCAGCUUGAUGGCGGGGUAACGGCCCACCAUGGCUUCGACGGGUAGCCGGCCUGAGAGGGCGACCGGCCACAUUGGGACUGAGAUACGGCCCAGACUCCUACGGGAGGCAGCAGUGGGGAAUAUUGCACAAUGGGCGCAAGCCUGAUGCAGCGACGCCGCGUGCGGGAUGACGGCCUUCGGGUUGUAAACCGCUUUUGACUGGGAGCAAGCCCUUCGGGGUGAGUGUACCUUUCGAAUAAGCACCGGCUAACUACGUGCCAGCAGCCGCGGUAAUACGUAGGGUGCAAGCGUUAUCCGGAAUUAUUGGGCGUAAAGGGCUCGUAGGCGGUUCGUCGCGUCCGGUGUGAAAGUCCAUCGCUUAACGGUGGAUCCGCGCCGGGUACGGGCGGGCUUGAGUGCGGUAGGGGAGACUGGAAUUCCCGGUGUAACGGUGGAAUGUGUAGAUAUCGGAA
This 536-nucleotide ribosomal RNA is filed under the name Bifidobacterium adolescentis. RNAcentral describes it as "bacterial SSU rRNA". It matches the Rfam family "Bacterial small subunit ribosomal RNA", at positions 155 to 702 of the family's 1533-position model. Lineage: Bacteria; Bacillati; Actinomycetota; Actinomycetes; Bifidobacteriales; Bifidobacteriaceae. The record is from RNAcentral.